ACCCCAGACUCCUACGGGAGGCAGCAGUCGAGAAUCAUUCACAAUGGGGGAAACCCUGAUGGUGCGACGCCGCGUGGGGGAAUGAAGGUCUUCGGAUUGUAAACCCCUGUCAUGUGGGAGCAAAUUAAAAAGAUAGUACCACAAGAGGAAGAGACGGCUAACUCCGUGCCAGCAGCCGCGGUAAUACGGAGGAUGCGAGCGUUAUCCGGAUUUAUUGGGUUUAAAGGGUGCGUAGGCGGAAUGCCAAGUCAGCGGUAAAAUCGCGGGGCUCAACCUCGCUCCGCCGUUGAAACUGGCAGUCUCGAGUUGGAGAGAAGUAUGCGGAAUGCGCGGUGUAGCGGUGAAAUGCAUAGAUAUCACGCAGAACUCCGAUUGCGAAGGCAGCAUGCCGGCGCGCAACUGACGCUCAUGCACGAAAGCGUGGGUAUCGAACAGGAUUAGAUACCCCCGUAC
RNAcentral lists this ribosomal RNA (453 nucleotides) under uncultured bacterium. RNAcentral describes it as "bacterial SSU rRNA". It matches the Rfam family "Bacterial small subunit ribosomal RNA", at positions 328 to 793 of the family's 1533-position model. The record is from RNAcentral.